RNAcentral lists this ribosomal RNA (253 nucleotides) under uncultured bacterium. RNAcentral describes it as "partial 16S ribosomal RNA". It matches the Rfam family "Bacterial small subunit ribosomal RNA", at positions 524 to 776 of the family's 1533-position model. The record is from RNAcentral.
UACGUAGGGUGCAAGCGUUAAUCGGAAUUACUGGGCGUAAAGCGAGCGCAGGCGGUUGUGUAAGACAGAUGUGAAAUCCCCGGGCUCAACCUGGGAACUGCAUUUGUGACUGCACGGCUAGAGUGUGUCAGAGGGGGGUGGAACUCCACGUGUAGCAGUGAAAUGCGUAGAGAUGUGGAAGAACACCGAUGGCGAAGGCAGCCCCCUGGGAUAACACUGACGCUCAGGCUCGAAAGCGUGGGGAGCAAACAGG